RNAcentral lists this unclassified non-coding RNA (332 nucleotides) under Hevea brasiliensis (rubber tree). Lineage: Eukaryota; Viridiplantae; Streptophyta; Magnoliopsida; Malpighiales; Euphorbiaceae. The record is from RNAcentral.
GAAUCAUUGCAUGCACACCUGUGUUUCCAAAACUUUUGACUUGGAAUUGUAGAUUUGUUACUAUCAGAAAAAUAGAAUGUGAUUACUGGUGGAAAAAAUGUGAUUGUUGGCUAAUAUGUCUGUGGGAUGCUGUCAUGGAUCUUCUAAGUAUUGUGUAUUGCUGCUUGGCAUUUUGCUUAAUCCAUUGCAUUUCUUGUUUGCAAUUGUGUUCUUGUCACAAAAUCUUUACAUGACAUUUUGAGAUUUUUUGUCAGUCUCAAAGAAAUAGUAUGUGAUGUACUGAUGCCAAGUGCUGACACUAAUGCUUUGAUUUUAUUGGUAGUAUGUUGACU